This 1239-nucleotide long non-coding RNA is filed under the name Notechis scutatus (mainland tiger snake). Its description in RNAcentral is "lncRNA (ENSNSUG00000017184.1)". The record is from RNAcentral. Lineage: Eukaryota; Metazoa; Chordata; Lepidosauria; Squamata; Elapidae.
GAACAGCAUCCCACCAGGGAACUCUGCAGCUGCCUUCCUAGUGAAGGUCCUUUCGAAAAGAGCUUUUCUCCCAGGUCAGGAGCCUCUUGGGAGGACCUUUUCUGCUCAAUGGGCUUUACAGGGCUCCUUCGGUGUGGAUUGCUGUCAAUGGGGGCAGGCAGCCUUAUGAGGCUUAUGAAUCCAUACGACCCUGCAAGGACACCUCUCUAUUUAAAAGGGACCCACUUCCCCAUGACCCAAGGCAAACAUGGAAAGGCCGAAGGGCCAGGCCUCUGGUUGCCGAAGCACCCAUGAAUCAUCUAAAGGGAUUUGCAGAAGUGAAGCUCUUCAGGAAGCACACCCACAGAGUUCAACACAAAGAUGACUUUUGUUUUAGCCUGAAAUGUCAGGAUUUACCCCCAAAAUGGUGGCGCCUUCUGCCCAGCAAAGCAGUCAUGGAAAACUCCCUCUGUGCGGUUGCUGGCCUUUGGGGGAGCUAAGCAGCCAGGCUGCUUCAGGGGUGUUUCCCCACAGAGGACACGGCAGGUCACACCGACUUCAGUGGGCGCAGCGUUCCACUGCAGAAGAACUUCUGCCCACCUCACAGCUUAGCGGGAGGCCCCUCUUUCCUUCCCAGGAAAUCCCUCCCACCCCUGAGAUUGCAGCCAGAAGGCAAAGACAUCAUUGCUAUCAACUUCAAAACAAGGGCCAGCACGUUGAAGUGCCAAAGGAAACUAGAGAGGAGGGACAAUUUCCCGAAAGACGACAUAUGUGCUUGGCAGCGCACCGUACUACCAAUCCCAAACACAAACACAGGACCUCAGGCCAGACAAAGCCCUGGCUCCCCAACUUUCGUUUGGGCGCUGGAAAGCCCACUGGCCACUUUUGCAAAAUUGGGAACAAUAGUUUUUGUUAUCUGGACUCAUUUCCAACACUGACGCAAGUGGGUUUGUUAUCACGCUAUUCAUUAAACAGCGAGGGAGACCCAACCCCUCCCAGGUCUUUUGCAGAAUGAAUACCGAUGCUUAAAAUAAUUCUUGUACAAAUGUUUGCCCUCCAUUCAAAUUGGAGUGUUCCUUCUGUAUCGUCUGGAUAUGGGAUGGAAGUGCUCGUCUCCACCCGAAGCGACGAUCCAGCCUUCUUCUGAGGACAGAGAACUGAGCCUCAAUAGUCCUCCAAGCAUCUCCAUCCCACUGUGACCUUCUUCUCAGGAUCUUUGGCUUUUCGAGAAAGUGAGUCCAGCCGCUGGGUCUACACAUC